GAGCAGAUCCAGUGGGACGAGCUUCAUGAUUUUUCAUUAACAAAGUAUUAUUCUGAUCUUCCACAAGUAGGCAUGUAAUCAAUUCAGAAUAUUUCUUAAAUCUCUUUUCACGAUAUUGUUGUUGUAGCAAUACAUUAGAAGCAUGAAAAGUGAAAAAAGUUUUCUCUAGUAAGUCCUUAUCAGUGAUGGUUUCUCCACAUAAUCUUAAUAUUGAACUUACUUUAUGAAUAGCAGAAUUAUACUCAACUAC
This 250-nucleotide long non-coding RNA is filed under the name Capsicum annuum. RNAcentral's name for it is "long non-coding RNA (CANN_LNC006432)". Lineage: Eukaryota; Viridiplantae; Streptophyta; Magnoliopsida; Solanales; Solanaceae. The record is from RNAcentral.